This 515-nucleotide ribosomal RNA is filed under the name uncultured bacterium. Its description in RNAcentral is "partial 16S ribosomal RNA". It matches the Rfam family "Bacterial small subunit ribosomal RNA", at positions 28 to 523 of the family's 1533-position model. The record is from RNAcentral.
GAUGAACGCUGGCGGCGUGCCUAAUACAUGCAAGUCGAGCGAAUGGAUUAAGAGCUUGCUCUUAUGAAGUUAGCGGCGGACGGGUGAGUAACACGUGAGUAACCUGCCCAUAAGACUGGGAUAACUCCGGGAAACCGGGGCUAACACCGGAUAACAUUUUGAACCGCAUGGUUCGAAAUUGAAAGGCGGCUUCGGCUGUCACUUAUGGAUGGACCCGCGUCGCAUUAGCUAGUUGGUGAGGUAACGGCUCACCAAGGCAACGAUGCGUAGCCGACCUGAGAGGGUGAUCGGCCACACUGGGACUGAGACACGGCCCAGACUCCUACGGGAGGCAGCAGUAGGGAAUCUUCCGCAAUGGACGAAAGUCUGACGGAGCAACGCCGCGUGAGUGAUGAAGGCUUUCGGGUCGUAAAACUCUGUUGUUAGGGAAGAACAAGUGCUAGUUGGAUAAGCUGGCACCUUGACGGUACCUAACCAGAAAGCCACGGCUAACUACGUGCCAGCCGCCGCAGUAA